GACGAACGCUGGCGGCGUGCUUAACACAUGCAAGUCGAACGGAAAGGCCCUGCUUUUGUGGGGUGCUCGAGUGGCGAACGGGUGAGUAACACGUGAGUAACCUGCCCUUGACUUUGGGAUAACUUCAGGAAACUGGGGCUAAUACCGGAUAGGAGCUCCUGCUGCAUGGUGGGGGUUGGAAAGUUUCGGCGGUUGGGGAUGGACUCGCGGCUUAUCAGCUUGUUGGUGGGGUAGUGGCUUACCAAGGCUUUGACGGGUAGCCGGCCUGAGAGGGUGACCGGCCACAUUGGGACUGAGAUACGGCCCAGACGCCUACGGGAGGCAGCAGGGGGGAAUAUUGCACAAUGGGCGGAAGCCUGAUGCAGCAACGCCGCGUGCGGGAUGCCGGCCUUCGGGUUGUAAACCGCUUUCGCCUGUGACGAAGCGUGAGUGACGGUAAUGGGUAAAGAAGCACCGGCUAACUACGUG
RNAcentral lists this ribosomal RNA (468 nucleotides) under uncultured bacterium. RNAcentral describes it as "partial 16S ribosomal RNA". It matches the Rfam family "Bacterial small subunit ribosomal RNA", at positions 28 to 507 of the family's 1533-position model. The record is from RNAcentral.